Gavialis gangeticus (Gharial) is the source of this 164-nucleotide long non-coding RNA. RefSeq lists it as uncharacterized. The record is from RefSeq and is a predicted model, not a curated record. The transcript has 3 exons. Lineage: Eukaryota; Metazoa; Chordata; Crocodylia; Gavialidae.
AUGGUUAUUUUUAGCUACCAUGUCACCAUAGUGAUGCGCUAUACCAAGGGAGCGUGUUACUACGGUGACAUAGAGGUGGUGUCACGGUUUUUGCCCGCAGACGCUACAUUGCAGUAGUGGGUUGCUACAGCUACAUAGUGUCACUGUGUAAGUCUCCCCUGAGA